AUUUGAUGUAUCCAUUUGGCUAUACCCAUGCUGCACUUCCAGGUACCUAUUAGAAAUUCCGGACAGAGUUAUUCUUGUCUACAAAUUCAUCUCUUCUCUUACCUUGCACCAGAUUAUAAAUCUCUAUAGUACAUACCAUUAACCUUAUAUUCAUCCUGGUUGGUGCCUGGCUCACUGGAGAGGCACACACACAUUUAGCAUGGGGACAAAAGUAAUUAUGACAGGAGUAAAUAAAUGAAUAAACAAAUGAAAGUUCCUCAAUAGGUUGAACGGUGGGGGACAUAUAUCAUAAUUUAUGCUAUAUAGUUGUAACUAGAAAAUAAUUGUUUCUUUUUUUUUUUUUUUUUUUGUUUUUCUCCGGUACCAGGAACCGAACUCACGACCUUGCGCUUGCCAGGAAGGUGCUUUGCCGCUGAGCUAAAUCCCCAGCCCAGUUGUUUCUUAUGUUGAUAAUAAGCCAGUGGUUCUCAAUGGGAUCAGAAUCACCGAGACUCCCUGUUUAAACACAGAUUGUGGGCCUCGGCCUGAGGUUUGAUUUUGUAAUUCUGAGAUUGACCAUCUCUGACAAAUCCUAAGAUGAAACUGAUGCCAGAGUUCAAGCACCAGAUUUUGAGACUGUCUAUGAUGUUAUUGUAGCAUAGUAAUUUCAUGUGUUUCAUUAUUCCGUAAUCACUUUUAUCCAAUUAGCUCUUAUCUACUUCUCCAGGAGCAUAUUUGUCAUACUUUCGGAACAGUUUUGUCGCCGUGACUGAUGGAGAACAGUGUGCAUGGCUGGCAUGGUUUGGAAACUUGGUUUUUUUUAGCCAGUGAUGGAAUCCAAAGGAAUCCUUUAUCAGAGUCCUCACCUCCGACAGGAAAGGAAAUCUCAACCACGCUAUGCACCAGGCUUCAAACAUGUGACUACAAUAAUAUAUAUCCCUCAGAUAGUCACCGAGAGGGACAUGAAGGGUGCUCCUCUGCUUUGAAUAAGAGUCCGGAACAGCAGGGUAUGUUUUCUUUUCCCUUCUGUAACAGCAAUGGACACCCCCUGGGAGUGAAACUGGAUUUUUAUGUAAGGAAGCACUUGCUCUGGUCGGGUUCUCAUGAUAAUAAAUUGUCUUCCAGUCUAGCCUGGUUGCCAUCCGGAAUGAAGACAUCCAAGACACCUCUGGAUUCACUACAGAACUCACUCUGCUCGUUCUUUUCCCACUGUUGUCUUCUCCUGGCUGUUUCUGUGGUCCAUCAGGGCAUGGAGAAAUAACCUACAAUCCCAUUAGACAGAAGAUCUUAUGUGACAAUAAUAAAAACUAGUGUCCCAGUUGGAGACGGUAUAUCGUGGAAGCUCUGGAAAGGAGAUUUGGGAUUUGGUCCUUAUCACUGUGGCUAACAAACUGUAGAAUGUUUGAAAGUUUCUUAAGCAAGUUUGGUCACAAAAAGGUAUUAAAUUGGGUAAA
RNAcentral lists this long non-coding RNA (1433 nucleotides) under Chinchilla lanigera (long-tailed chinchilla). RNAcentral's name for it is "lncRNA (ENSCLAG00000022591.1)". Lineage: Eukaryota; Metazoa; Chordata; Mammalia; Rodentia; Chinchillidae. The record is from RNAcentral.